RNAcentral lists this ribosomal RNA (298 nucleotides) under uncultured eukaryote. RNAcentral describes it as "partial 18S ribosomal RNA". It matches the Rfam family "Eukaryotic small subunit ribosomal RNA", at positions 1470 to 1796 of the family's 1831-position model. The record is from RNAcentral.
CCCUUAGACACUCUAGGCGGCACGCGCGCUACAAUGGGUGGAAGACCGUGUUACUGCCUUCGAAAGAAGGGGUGAAUCACGAAUUCUUACCCGUGAAUGGGAUAGUUUGUUGCAAUUUUCGGACUUGAACUAGGAAUCCCUUGUAAGCAUGCUCAAGAAUAGCGUGUUGAAUACGUCCCUGCCGUUUGUACACACCGCCCGUCGUUUCUUCCGACUGAUACUCAUUGUGAGUUGCAAGGACCCUUUAUUGGGAAAUUGCUGCGAAUGCUUUGUAUUGGAGGAAGAAAAAGUCGUAACA